Molecule: unclassified non-coding RNA, 343 nt
Filed under: soil metagenome
Description: partial contains 5.8S ribosomal RNA, internal transcribed spacer 2, and large subunit ribosomal RNA
Rfam family: 5.8S ribosomal RNA (bases 1-120)
Source: RNAcentral
GAUGAAGAACGUAGCGUAAUGCGAUAAGUAAUGUGAAUUGCAGAAUUCAGUGAAUCAUCGAAUCUUUGAACGCACAUUGCGCCCGCUAGUAUUCUGGCGGGCAUGCCUGUCCGAGCGUCAUUUCAACCCUCAAGCCCCCGGGCUUGGUGUUGGGGAUCGGCGAGCCUCCGCGCCCGCCGUCCCCUAAAUCUAGUGGCGGUCUCGCUGUAGCUUCCUCUGCGUAGUAGCACACCUCGCACUGGGAAACAGCGCGGCCACGCCGUUAAACCCCCAACUUCUGAACGUUUGACCUCGGAUCAGGUAGGAAUACCCGCUGAACUUAAGCAUAUCAAUAAGCGGAGGA